Molecule: long non-coding RNA, 346 nt
Filed under: Nicotiana benthamiana
Lineage: Eukaryota; Viridiplantae; Streptophyta; Magnoliopsida; Solanales; Solanaceae
Description: long non-coding RNA (NBEN_LNC010601)
Source: RNAcentral
AAGUCCAGUUUAAUAAGAAAUAUAAGAUAAUCGAUACUUGGCUUUCCUAGUGACAAAUCUGAUAUAAUAGCAUUAACCAGUGCUUGUAAAUAGCUACUUGGAUCAAUUUCUGUAUCGUUUAUGUUAAGUUUCUUCAGAGGACGGAAAAUUGUUUAAGGUCAGAUUACAGUGUUCAAAAAGGAAAUUAACUCAACUUUGAUUUGACACGAAUCACCCUAGAAAGUAAAAUCCCUAAGACAGAACAAAAAUGGACCAAAUAGAGAAACAAAAACAUAAACAGAACCUUAAUCUGGAAAGUGGAAACUGGAAAGCAAUUACAGGAUAUUUAACACGAAUCACCUCCUUG